CAAACACUUGCUAUGGACAAAGACAAACUUGAACAUUACAUUAAGAAUGAGAUGGAGGAGCAGUAUGGGGAACGGUAUGCUCAGAAAGUCGAGGACAGGCUGCUGCAUUAUCUCCAUGAGCUAGAUGCUGUGUUACAAGGAGAUACCUACAUUGAUAAGAUCCUGAAGAAACAGAGCCCUGUGACUGAAGAGGAGAAGCUACUUUUAGAGGUAAUACGCUCUGACUCCACCACCAUAGCUGCGACCCUGAAGAAGCUGCUGCACUGCGAUGCUGCUUCCUGUCGUCAGUCGUCGAUAUCUCGGUCGCCUCAACUCUUUAAGUCGGCUCCUUAUGAAAGCUCUUCAAAGGCUCCUCUCAAGUCAGCAGAAAGCCAGACUCCUCCAGAUGUUCAUCCAGAGGAGGCUCCUUGCAACGUGUCCAAAGACGGUGACAGUUUUUCGGACAGGAGCUCAGACAUUAGAGGACAUCAGCAACCAGAGGAGGAAGAUGAGGUGAACAAGAGAGUGGAGGAAGAGGACAGUCAGGGAAGCAGCACAUGUGUUCAGGAGGCGGCCUCCACCCCUCAGUUCUGCUCCAAACACCAGCGAUGGGUGAAGAGCAUCCUGCUGGGAUGCUCGGAAGAGCUUCUCCUUCAGGCCAACGUUUCUUCAUCUCCCCUGCUCUUCCCGUCGUCAUCUUCUACCUCUUCAUCACAGGACCUCACGCCAUCUGACCUCAUCCCCUGUCCGCCCGAUCAGCCACCUUUGCAGACCCCCAGCCCUCCUCGCGCAGCAGUCCAAGCAUCCAGAACAGCAAAACCCAAAUACAGGCGCAGCUCCGGGUCACUCGGAUCCUCAGGCGACACCUCACAAGCACAAAUUCUGCCUCAGGCCUCGUCUGCUCGGGGCUCUCCACUGCCUGCUCUGCUGUCACCGGUGGUCCGACUGGUGAACAUCGGCUCCUUCGAGACGAGCUGUAAACACCAGCACGCAUCACCAAAGCAGCUUCUUCUGGCAGCUUCUUCCAGUUCGGAGAUGCUAAGUUCUCCACACCAUCACACCUCAGGAAACGUAAAAGACAAAAACAGUUCAUCUACCUCUGCCAGGUGUCAAACCCCGACUGAACGGAGAAAGCUCAGACGGGUCUGCAGUACCAACAGACACAAAGAGGAUUUGGAGGCAUUCACUCAAAACCCCCAGCAGCUUGUUCAGGACCCAAGUGCCUCUCAGAUGGGUGUUCCAGCCACAGCCAGUGACAUCAGUGUCUCUGGACCUCCUCAGAAAGGUGCUCAGUCAGAGAGUUUGUUCUCAGCCUAUGCUGCCAAUCAAAUCACACCAUCUUCCAAGUCAUGUAAAAAAGUCGUCCCUCGGAGCUCUCUUCGCCAUCGUCAGCCACAAAAUAACAGCAGACCUCGAUCAGAAACCGCCCGACGUUCCUCACGCUCCUCCUCUGCCGCAGGCAGGUCCAAAACCAGCCGAGGACUCAGAGCUCAGCUGAGGCUAUCGCUGCCCAGUCAGGGUGUGCUGCUGCACUCCAAGCUGCUACAACCCUACGUGAGUCUUACCAGGUUGAGCUCUGAGCAGUGUCACCUAUCGACCCAAAGGACGGCCUCAGCCGGGCAGGAAGAGCUCGUGGAGCAAGACAGCGACAGCGAGGAAAGGAGGAAGGAAGAGGAGGAAGACUUAGACUCUUCCUUCGAUGUGAACGCUCUUUUCUCCACCGAUUCCUCAAGCAGUGACGGAGAGGAGUCACCUGACCGUGACCCUGAUUAUAGACCUCACAUCAAAAAGAAAAGACUUCUGUUGGAGUAUGAAAAUGCAAGGGUGCUCAGUCACGGUGACGGCAGUUGAACUAAUUUAUCCUACUCGAGUACUCGAGGAUUAAAUCAAGUUUUUAGAGUAUUUUUAGAUGCCGCGUGAAGAUACAGCCAUCAGUGCUCUCUAAUGAUCUGUCUGUUCUUGUGAGCUAACAUGGUUCCUCUAUGCUAACUGAAUGUAGAUGUGCAAAACACAGAACAUAGAAUUGUUUUAAAUAGAUUUGUCUCCCUAUUAAAAUCUGUAGAAGGUAGCACUCAAACACGUUUAACUGAAAGGAAAAAAAGCUUCUUGUAAAUGUUUGUAUGGUGCAGCGUAUUGUAGCAGGUGUGUAUCGAGUGUUCUGGUUUAUGAUAAUAGGUCUCUGAUUAUAUAAGUGAGAAUAAAUAACCCAGAGGGGAUCGUUGUAUUUUCGUAAUGUGUUUUGUUUGGAUCCGUCAGCAGGUCCAACAUUUCAGGACUUUUACCCCACCUGGAAGUCCAGACCGAGGUAAAUGUUUCUGAUUAUAUAAUUUCCAUUUGCACAGCCAGCUUUGGCUUCCCAUUUUCACUUCACAUGACAUAAAAAUGAAGACACACUUUUUUAACCCUCUAUUAAAUUUAAAGUUUUUCUCAAAACAUUCUCCAAGUGUGGAACCAGCUUCCUAUAGAAAGCACAAAUUUCUUCUAUUUGCGUGCAAUAACAGAAUCAUUUCAGAAUAAAACCAAAAAUGACCAGUGCAAACGUUUUUACUGAGCCACAGCACAAACCACUGCUGUGCAACGAUGUGCUCUAACUUUGUAAUGGUAAAAGCUGUAAAAUCAAGUUACAUCUGAGGGUUUUCUUCAGUUUACACACAGUAUAAAACCUCAGAAAGAGCUUUGAGCUGAUACCCCAGCACACGAGUGUGUGAC
Oreochromis aureus is the source of this 2688-nucleotide long non-coding RNA. NCBI's taxonomy places the organism in Eukaryota, Metazoa, Chordata, Actinopteri, Cichliformes, Cichlidae. The record is from Ensembl.